UUUGUUGCAAACGUUUCGUCCCCUGGCUAGGAGACAUCAUCAGUGCUCUGGAGCUUCCUGCAAAGCGCUUCUUUGAUGUUUCUUCCGGCCUUCGAUGAUGACCCCCAGCCUCUGGUGACCUCCUGACCUAGCAUAGUGUCCUCCCGGUGUGGUGUUUUGCUGGCUCAAUGUGGAUCCAAGGCCUGGUGUGGACUGGAAGCAAGCAAUCUGCAAAGAUUUCAGAAGAAGUUGUGUGUGAUUAGUGUCUUGUUGACAUGUGCCAGACAUCAGAACGACAGACCUCAUGGCAUUUUACACUUUAUCCUUUUGCCUUCACUGUUCUUGUUUCAGAAGAACAAUCUCUGGAGAGAAUUGCAUUUUUAUUUUCCUGAAGUGUAUCAUGCUUGCAUAUGUUUUUGGGAUAUU
Hemiscyllium ocellatum (epaulette shark) is the source of this 405-nucleotide long non-coding RNA. RefSeq lists it as uncharacterized. NCBI's taxonomy places the organism in Eukaryota, Metazoa, Chordata, Chondrichthyes, Orectolobiformes, Hemiscylliidae. The transcript has 3 exons. The record is from RefSeq and is a predicted model, not a curated record.